AGCAGCCGCGGUAAUUCCAGCUCCAAUAGCGUAUAUUAAAGUUGUUGCAGUUAAAAAGCUCGUAGUUGAAUUUCGGGAUUGACACAUCGGUCGUGCCUUAAGGGGUAUGAACUGGUGUAGUCAAUUUCUCACCUUCUGGAGAACCGCGAUGCCCUUAAUUGGGUGUCACGGGGAACCAGGACCUUUACUUUGAAAAAAUUAGAGUGUUUAAAGCAGGCAUUUUGCUUGAAUACAUUAGCAUGGAAUAAUAAAAUAGGACGGCAUGAUUCUAUUUUGUUGGUUUCUAGGAUCACCGUAAUGAUUAAUAGGGAUAGUUGGGGGCAUUAGUAUUCAAUUGUCAGAGGUGAAAUUCUUGGAUUUAUUGAAGACUAACUACUGCGAAAGCAUUUGCCAAGGAUGUUUUCAUUAAUCAAGAACGAAAGUUAGGGGAUCGAAGACGAUCAGAUACCG
This 450-nucleotide ribosomal RNA is filed under the name uncultured Glomeromycotina. RNAcentral's name for it is "SSU rRNA". It matches the Rfam family "Eukaryotic small subunit ribosomal RNA", at positions 569 to 1017 of the family's 1831-position model. Lineage: Eukaryota; Fungi; Glomeromycota. The record is from RNAcentral.